CUUUAAUACAAAUUAUGGUCAACAAUAAAAGUAAUUCAUACAGAACUCCUCGAUGUAGAUAAUAACAGAAAACACACCAAAUCAAUACGACUACUCAAUACAUGACGACUUUGGCGCUCGUUGACCGUGAAAGAAACGUACUAAAAGCUUCAAUUAAUAUAAAAACAUGACCGUUCCACUCAGUGUCCACAAGUGUCAAACCCGCACAUUUAUUCACAUCUCAUUGAGUCUCCAGGUUAAUAAACUGUAACAGAAAGUUGCUUGGCGCCCCCUGGUGGUGGACCACGAUGAGUGCUGCUGUACUUGAUGAUAAAUGUGGUCAAAGUACAGGUGCUUCUCACGGCUCACCUUCACUGGAGGAAGAGACCGACGGCGAACUGCGGACAACAUUUCUGUCAGUGUGAUACAGAUUGAAUCUAAUGCGACAUCAUGGCAG
Molecule: long non-coding RNA, 436 nt
Organism: Boleophthalmus pectinirostris (great blue-spotted mudskipper)
Lineage: Eukaryota; Metazoa; Chordata; Actinopteri; Gobiiformes; Gobiidae
Exons: 3
Source: RefSeq, a predicted model, not a curated record